UACAGAGGGUGCGAGCGUUAAUCGGAAUUACUGGGCGUAAAGCGUGCGUAGUCGGUUAUUUAAGUCGGGUGUGAAAGCCCCGGGCUCAACCUGGGAAUUGCAUUCGAGACUGAAUAGCUAGGGUACGGUAGAGGGAAGUGGAAUUUCCGGUGUAGCGGUGAAAUGCGUAGAUAUCGGAAGGAACAUCAGUGGCGAAAGCGACUUCCUGGACCAGUACCGACGUUCAGGCACGAAAGCGUGGGGAGCAAACAGG
RNAcentral lists this ribosomal RNA (253 nucleotides) under uncultured bacterium. RNAcentral describes it as "partial 16S ribosomal RNA". It matches the Rfam family "Bacterial small subunit ribosomal RNA", at positions 524 to 776 of the family's 1533-position model. The record is from RNAcentral.